UAGAGACAGCAGAAGGGCCAC
RNAcentral lists this microRNA (21 nucleotides) under Mus musculus (house mouse). Its description in RNAcentral is "mmu-miR-7042-5p". The record is from miRBase by way of RNAcentral. Lineage: Eukaryota; Metazoa; Chordata; Mammalia; Rodentia; Muridae.